CUUGGUGCCUAUGCGACUGGAACACACCCGUUCCCAUUCCGAACACGAAGGUAAAGACGGUUGGCAGCGACAAUAUUAAGUUGGAAACGAUUUGAGAAGAUAGCCAUGUGCCAGGG
This 116-nucleotide ribosomal RNA is filed under the name Candidatus Melainabacteria bacterium. The record is from RNAcentral. Lineage: Bacteria; Bacillati; Candidatus Melainabacteria.